ACACAUGCAAGUCGAACGAACCCUUCGGGGUUAGUGGCGCACGGGUGCGUAACACGUGGGAAUCUGCCUCUUGGUUCGGAAUAACAGUGAGAAAUUACUGCUAAUACCGGAUGAUGACUUCGGUCCAAAGAUUUAUCGCCAAGAGAUGAGCCCGCGCAGGAUUAGGUAGUUGGUGGGGUAAAGGCCUACCAAGCCGACGAUCCUUAGCUGGUCUGAGAGGAUGAUCAGCCACACUGGGACUGAGACACGGCCCAGACUCCUACGGGAGGCAGCAGUGGGGAAUAUUGGACAAUGGGCGAAAGCCUGAUCCAGCAAUGCCGCGUGAGUGAUGAAGGCCUUAGGGUUGUAAAGCUCUUUUACCAGGGAUGAUAAUGACAGUACCUGGAGAAUAAGCUCCGGCUAACUCCGUGCCAGCAGCCGCGGUAAUACGGAGGGAGCUAGCGUUGUUCGGAAUUACUGGGCGUAAAGCGCGCGUAGGCGGUUACUCAAGUCAGAGGUGAAAGCCCGGAGCUCAACUCCGGAACUGCCUUUGAAACUAGGUGACUAGAAUCUUGGAGAGGUCAGUGGAAUUCCGAGUGUAGAGGUGAAAUUCGUAGAUAUUCGGAAGAACACCAGUGGCGAAGGCGACUGACUGGACAAGUAUUGACGCUGAGGUGCGAAAGUGUGGGGAGCAAACAGGAUUAGAUACCCUGGUAGUCCACACCGUAAACGAUGAUAACUAGCUGUCCGGGUUCUUGGAAUUUGGGUGGCGCAGCUAACGCAUUAAGUUAUCCGCCUGGGGAGUACGGUCGCAAGAUUAA
RNAcentral lists this ribosomal RNA (800 nucleotides) under Novosphingobium sp. RNAcentral's name for it is "bacterial SSU rRNA". It matches the Rfam family "Bacterial small subunit ribosomal RNA", at positions 51 to 897 of the family's 1533-position model. The record is from RNAcentral. Lineage: Bacteria; Pseudomonadati; Pseudomonadota; Alphaproteobacteria; Sphingomonadales; Sphingomonadaceae.